This 485-nucleotide ribosomal RNA is filed under the name uncultured bacterium. RNAcentral describes it as "bacterial SSU rRNA". It matches the Rfam family "Bacterial small subunit ribosomal RNA", at positions 29 to 526 of the family's 1533-position model. The record is from RNAcentral.
AACGAACGUUGGCGGCGUGGAUUAGGCAUGCAAGUCGAACGAAUCCCGGUAGCAAUACCGGGGGAAGUGGCGAAAGGGGCAGUAAUGUGUGGAUAACCUACCCUGGGGUUGGGCAUAGCCGUUCUAACGAACGGGUAAUUCCCAGCGAUUCGGCGUGACGGCAUCGUCGUGCCGGGAAAGAUUUAUCGCCUCGGGAGGGGUCCAUAUCGUAUUACCUAGUUGGUGAGGUAACGGCUCACCAAGGGGAAGAUGCGUAGCGGGUGUGAGAGCACGACCCGCGCCACUGGCACUGUGACACUGGCCAGACACCUACGGGUGGCUGCAGUCGAGGAUCUUCGUCAAUGGACGCAAGUCUGAACGAGCGACGCCGCGUGUGCGAUGAAGGCCUUCGGGUUGUAAAGCACGAAAGUGGGGAUAAAAGCCGAAAGGUCUGAUUGAUCCACAGUAAGCUCGGGCUAAGUUCGUGCCAGCAGCCGCGGUAAUAC